Molecule: ribosomal RNA, 253 nt
Filed under: uncultured bacterium
Lineage: Bacteria
Description: partial 16S ribosomal RNA
Rfam family: Bacterial small subunit ribosomal RNA
Source: RNAcentral
UACGGAGGGUGCAAGCGUUAAUCGGAAUUACUGGGCGUAAAGCGCGCGUAGGUGGUUUUGUAAGUCGGAUGUGAAAGCCCCGGGCUCAACCUGGGAAUUGCAUUCGAUACUGCAUGACUAGAGUAUGGUAGAGGGAAGUGGAAUUCCAGGUGUAGCGGUGAAAUGCGUAGAUAUCUGGAGGAACAUCAGUGGCGAAGGCGACUUCCUGGACCAAUACUGACACUGAGGUGCGAAAGCGUGGGUAGCAAACAGG